GACGAACGCUGGCGGCGUGCUUAACACAUGCAAGUCGAACGGAAAGGCCCUGCUUUUGUGGGGUGCUCGAGUGGCGAACGGGUGAGUAACACGUGAGUAACCUGCCCUUGACUUUGGGAUAACUUCAGGAAACUGGGGCUAAUACCGGAUAGGAGCUCCUGCUGCAUGGUGGGGGUUGGAAAGUUUCGGCGGUUGGGGAUGGACUCGCGGCUUAUCAGCUUGUUGGUGGGGUAGUGGCUUACCAAGGCUUUGACGGGUAGCCGGCCUGAGAGGGUGAACGGCAAAAAUGGGAAUGAGAGACGGCCAAGACUACAACGGGAGGCAGCAGUGGGGAAUAUUGCACAAUGGGCGGAAGCCUGAUGCAGAAACGCCGCGGGCGGGAUGACGGCCUUCGGGUUGUAAAACGCAUUCGCCUGUGACGAAGCGUGAGUGACGGUAAUGGGUAAAGAAGCACCGGCUAACUACGUG
Molecule: ribosomal RNA, 468 nt
Filed under: uncultured bacterium
Lineage: Bacteria
Description: partial 16S ribosomal RNA
Rfam family: Bacterial small subunit ribosomal RNA
Source: RNAcentral